RNAcentral lists this ribosomal RNA (500 nucleotides) under uncultured bacterium. RNAcentral describes it as "partial 16S ribosomal RNA". It matches the Rfam family "Bacterial small subunit ribosomal RNA", at positions 29 to 523 of the family's 1533-position model. The record is from RNAcentral.
AUUGAACGCUGGCGGCAUGCCUUACACAUGCAAGUCGAACGGCAGCACGGGAGCAAUCCUGGUGGCGAGUGGCGAACGGGUGAGUAAUAUAUCGGAACGUGCCCAGUAGUGGGGGAUAACUGCUCGAAAGAGCAGCUAAUACCGCAUACGACCUGAGGGUGAAAGCGGGGGAUCGCAAGACCUCGCGCUAUUGGAGCGGCCGAUAUCAGAUUAGCCAGUUGGUGAGGUAAGGGCCCACCAAGGCGACGAUCUGUAGCUGGUCUGAGAGGACGACCAGCCACACUGGGACUGAGACACGGCCCAGACUCCUACGGGAGGCAGCAGUGGGGAAUUUUGGACAAUGGGCGCAAGCCUGAUCCAGCCAUGCCGCGUGCGGGAAGAAGGCCUUCGGGUUGUAAACCGCUUUUGUCAGGGAAGAAACGGCUCCUACUAAUACUGGGGGCUAAUGACGGUACCUGAAGAAUAAGCACCGGCUAACUACGUGCCAGCAGCCGCCGCAG